This 473-nucleotide ribosomal RNA is filed under the name uncultured bacterium. Its description in RNAcentral is "SSU rRNA". It matches the Rfam family "Bacterial small subunit ribosomal RNA", at positions 26 to 518 of the family's 1533-position model. The record is from RNAcentral.
AGGACGAACGCUGGCGGCGUGCUUAACACAUGCAAGUCGAACGGAAAGGCCCUUCGGGGUACUCGAGCGGCGAACGGGUGAGUAACACGUGAGUAAUCUGCCCCUAGCUCUGGGAUAGCUCCGGGAAACCGGGAUUAAUACCAGAUACGACCACUUUAGACAUCUGUUGUGGUGGAAAGAAUUUUGGCUAGGGAUGAGCUCGCGGCCUAUCAGCUUGUUGGUGAGGUAACGGCUCACCAAGGCGACGACGGGUAGCCGGCCUGAGAGGGCGACCGGCCACACUGGGACUGAGACACGGCCCAGACUCCUACGGGAGGCAGCAGUGGGGAAUAUUGCGCAAUGGGCGAAAGCCUGACGCAGCGACGCCGCGUGGGAGAUGAAGGCCUUCGGGUUGUAAACCCUUUCAGCAGGGACGAAGCGAAAGUGACGGUACCUGCAGAAGAAGCGCCGGCUAACUACGCGCCAGCAGCCGC